CUACGGGAGGCUGCAGUGGGGAAUAUUGCACAAUGGAGGAAACUCUGAUGCAGCAACGCCGCGUGGAGGAUGACACUUUUCGGAGCGUAAACUCCUUUUAUAUAGGAAGAAGAUGACGGUACUAUAUGAAUAAGCGCCGGCUAACUCCGUGCCAGCAGCCGCGGUAAUACGGAGGGCGCAAGCGUUACUCGGAAUCACUGGGCGUAAAGGGCGUGUAGGCGGAUUAAAAAGUCAGAAGUGAAAUCCUAUAGCUUAACUAUAGAACUGCUUCUGAAACUCUUAAUCUAGAAUAUGGGAGAGGUAGAUGGAAUUUCUGGUGUAGGGGUACAAUCCGUAGAGAUCAGAAGGAAUACCGAUUGCGAAGGCGAUCUACUAGAACAUUAUUGACGCUGAGACGCGAAAGCGUGGGGAGCAAACAGGAUUGAUACCCCAGUAGUC
RNAcentral lists this ribosomal RNA (438 nucleotides) under uncultured bacterium. Its description in RNAcentral is "partial 16S ribosomal RNA". It matches the Rfam family "Bacterial small subunit ribosomal RNA", at positions 339 to 795 of the family's 1533-position model. The record is from RNAcentral.